Molecule: ribosomal RNA, 254 nt
Filed under: uncultured bacterium
Lineage: Bacteria
Description: partial 16S ribosomal RNA
Rfam family: Bacterial small subunit ribosomal RNA
Source: RNAcentral
CGACGGGUGAGUAACGCGUGGAAAACCUGCCGUAUACUGGGGGAUAACACUUAGAAAUAGGUGCUAAUACCGCAUAAGCGCACAGCUUCGCAUGAAGCGGUGUGAAAAACUCUGGUGGUAUACGAUGGUUCCGCGUCUGAUUAGCUAGUUGGUGGGGUAAUGGCCUACCAAGGCAACGAUCAGUAGCCGGCCUGAGAGGGUGAGCGGCCACAUUGGGACUGAGACACGGCCCAAACUCCUACGGAAGGCAGCAG